This 204-nucleotide unclassified non-coding RNA is filed under the name Hevea brasiliensis (rubber tree). The record is from RNAcentral. Lineage: Eukaryota; Viridiplantae; Streptophyta; Magnoliopsida; Malpighiales; Euphorbiaceae.
AAGUGAAAAUAUUAGAUAAUUUAAAUAAGGAUUUUUGCGUAUUUCAUAAGCUAUGUUGUAAGAAAGAGUUACAAGUACUAAAAGAUUACAUUUGUUAACAUAAAUAGUAGAGCAACUCUAAAGCACCACUGAAAAAUAAACUUCCCCUUCAACAUUAACCUAUGACAAUAGAAUUACUUCAAAAUACAUUAAAACGUGUUCGUU